UUAAGUGACUAAGCGUACACGGUGGAUGCCUGGGCAGUCAGAGGCGAUGAAGGACGUACUAACUUGCGAUAAGCGCAGAUAAGGCAGUAAGAGCCGUUUGAGUCUGCGAUUUCCGAAUGGGGAAACCCAACUGCAUAAGCAGUUACUGUUAACUGAAUACAUAGGUUAACAGAGCAAACCGGGGGAACUGAAACAUCUAAGUACCCCGAGGAGAAGAAAUCAACCGAGAUUCCGGUAGUAGCGGCGAGCGAACCUGGAUUAGCCCUUAAGCACUCGGUGAAGUAGGUGAACAAGCUGGAAAGCUUGGCGAUACAGGGUGAUAGCCCCGUAACCGACGCUUCAUCGAGCGUGAAAUCGAGUAGGGCGGGACACGUGAUAUCCUGUCUGAAUAUGGGGGGACCAUCCUCCAAGGCUAAAUACUCCUGACUGACCGAUAGUGAACCAGUACCGUGAGGGAAAGGCGAAAAGAACCCCUGUGAGGGGAGUGAAAUAGAACCUGAAACCGUGUACGUACAAGCAGUAGGAGCACCUUCGUGGUGUGACUGCGUACCUUUUGUAUAAUGGGUCAGCGACUUAUAUUCAGUGGCAAGGUUAACCGUAUAGGGGAGCCGUAGCGAAAGCGAGUCUUAACUGGGCGCUCAGUCUCUGGAUAUAGACCCGAAACCGGGUGAUCUAGCCAUGGGCAGGUUGAAGGUUGAGUAACAUCAACUGGAGGACCGAACCGACUAAUGUUGAAAAAUUAGCGGAUGACUUGUGGCUAGGGGUGAAAGGCCAAUCAAACUCGGAGAUAGCUGGUUCUCCCCGAAAGCUAUUUAGGUAGCGCCUCGGACGAAUACUACUGGGGGUAGAGCACUGUUAAGGCUAGGGGGUCAUCCCGACUUACCAACCCUUUGCAAACUCCGAAUACCAGUAAGUACUAUCCGGGAGACACACGGCGGGUGCUAACGUCCGUCGUGGAGAGGGAAACAACCCAGACCGCCAGCUAAGGUCCCAAAGUAUUGCUAAGUGGGAAACGAUGUGGGAAGGCUCAGACAGCUAGGAUGUUGGCUUAGAAGCAGCCAUCAUUUAAAGAAAGCGUAAUAGCUCACUAGUCGAGUCGGCCUGCGCGGAAGAUGUAACGGGGCUAAGCAAUACACCGAAGCUGCGGCAAUGUCUUUUAGACAUUGGGUAGGGGAGCGUUCUGUAAGCCGUUGAAGGUGAAUCGUAAGGUUUGCUGGAGGUAUCAGAAGUGCGAAUGCUGACAUGAGUAACGACAAAGGGGGUGAAAAACCUCCUCGCCGGAAGACCAAGGGUUCCUGUCCAACGUUAAUCGGGGCAGGGUGAGUCGACCCCUAAGGUGAGGCCGAAAGGCGUAAUCGAUGGGAAACGGGUUAAUAUUCCCGUACUUCUGACUAUUGCGAUGGGGGGACGGAGAAGGCUAGGUGGGCCAGGCGACGGUUGUCCUGGUUCAAGUGCGUAGGCUUGAGAGUUAGGUAAAUCCGGCUCUCUCUAAGGCUGAGACACGACGUCGAGCUACUACGGUAGUGAAGUCAUUGAUGCCAUGCUUCCAGGAAAAGCCUCUAAGCUUCAGAUAGUCAGGAAUCGUACCCCAAACCGACACAGGUGGUCGGGUAGAGAAUACCAAGGCGCUUGAGAGAACUCGGGUGAAGGAACUAGGCAAAAUGGUACCGUAACUUCGGGAGAAGGUACGCUCUUGAUGGUGAAGUCCCUCGCGGAUGGAGCUGACGAGAGUCGCAGAUACCAGGUGGCUGCAACUGUUUAUUAAAAACACAGCACUGUGCAAAAUCGCAAGAUGACGUAUACGGUGUGACGCCUGCCCGGUGCCGGAAGGUUAAUUGAUGGGGUUAGCGCAAGCGAAGCUCUUGAUCGAAGCCCCGGUAAACGGCGGCCGUAACUAUAACGGUCCUAAGGUAGCGAAAUUCCUUGUCGGGUAAGUUCCGACCUGCACGAAUGGCGUAAUG
Molecule: ribosomal RNA, 1961 nt
Filed under: Vibrio cholerae HC-17A1
Lineage: Bacteria; Pseudomonadati; Pseudomonadota; Gammaproteobacteria; Vibrionales; Vibrionaceae
Description: bacterial LSU rRNA
Rfam family: Bacterial large subunit ribosomal RNA
Source: RNAcentral